AAAUUUCUCAAAAUUAUUUAUUCAAAUUUAUAAUAAAUGUAAAAAUACAUUUAUAAAACAGAAAGACGAUAAGACCCUAUUGAACUUAACUUCAGUUAAACUGGGGAAGUAAAUUAAUUAUUAUUUUAUAUAAAAUACAACUACAAUAAUCCAAUACUAAUGAAUUAUCAAGUUACCAUAGGGAUAACAGCGUAAUCACUUUUUAAAGACCUCAUAUAAAAUAUAGUUUACGACCUCGAUGUUGAAUUAAUUUACCUAAAUAAAGCAAGAUUUAAAUAAGGAAGUCUGUUCGACUUUUUAAAAAUUACACGAUUUGAGUUCAAACCGGUAUAAGCCAGGUUGGUUUCUAUCUUCUAUAUAAAUUUUUAUAGUACGAAAGGGCCUAAAAAUUUAAUUUUAUUAAUUAAUUGGCAGAAAAAUGCAUUAGAAUUAGAAUCUAAUUAAACUUUA
RNAcentral lists this ribosomal RNA (450 nucleotides) under Nungia epigynalis. Its description in RNAcentral is "partial 16S ribosomal RNA". The stretch from base 60 to 355 matches the Rfam family "Bacterial large subunit ribosomal RNA", at positions 2074 to 2646 of the family's 2925-position model. Lineage: Eukaryota; Metazoa; Arthropoda; Arachnida; Araneae; Salticidae. The record is from RNAcentral.